This 427-nucleotide ribosomal RNA is filed under the name uncultured bacterium. RNAcentral describes it as "bacterial SSU rRNA". It matches the Rfam family "Bacterial small subunit ribosomal RNA", at positions 355 to 774 of the family's 1533-position model. The record is from RNAcentral.
UGGGGAAUUUUGGACAAUGGGCGCAAGCCUGAUCCAGCCAUGCCGCGUGCAGGAAGAAGGCCUUCGGGUUGUAAACCGCUUUUGUCAGGGAAGAAACGAGUUUCUCUAAUACAGAGACUUAAUGACGGUACCUGAAGAAUAAGCACCGGCUAACUACGUGCCAGCAGCCGCGGUAAUACGUAGGGUGCAAGCGUUAAUCGGAAUUACUGGGCGUAAAGCGUGCGCAGGCGGUUAUGCAAGACAGAUGUGAAAUCCCCGGGCUCAACCUGGGAACUGCAUUUGUGACUGCAUAGCUGGAGUGCGGCAGAGGGGGAUGGAAUUCCGCGUGUAGCAGUGAAAUGCGUAGAUAUGCGGAGGAACACCGAUGGCGAAGGCAAUCCCCUGGGCCUGCACUGACGCUCAUGCACGAAAGCGUGGGGAGCAAACA